This 407-nucleotide ribosomal RNA is filed under the name Bacillota bacterium. RNAcentral describes it as "Firmicutes bacterium partial 16S ribosomal RNA". It matches the Rfam family "Bacterial small subunit ribosomal RNA", at positions 355 to 776 of the family's 1533-position model. The record is from RNAcentral. Lineage: Bacteria; Bacillati; Bacillota.
CAAGGAAUUUUCCACAAUGGGCGCAAGCCUGAUGGAGCAACGCCGCGUGGGGGAUGACGCGUUUCGGCGUGUAAACCCCUUUUCGAGGGGACGAAGGCAAUGACGGUACCCUCGGAAGAAGGCCCGGCUAACUACGUGCCAGCAGCCGCGGUAAGACGUAGGGGCCGAGCGUUGUCCGGAGUUACUGGGCGUCAAGCGCGCGCAGGCGGAUGGUCGCAUCGUCGGUGAAAGCCCACCGCUCAACGGGGGAGGGUCCGGCGAGAUGGGCCAUCUGGAGGCAGGGAGAGGCGAGUGGAAUUCCGGGUGUAGUGGUGAAAUGCGUAGAGAUCAGGAGGAACACCAGUGGCGAAGGCGGCUCGCUGGACCUGACCUGACGCUGAGGCGCGAAGGCGUGGGGAGCGAACGGG